UCUGACCUGAAAAGUAACUGCUGAGAAAUAUGACAAGAAACUGAUGAGGAUUCUUUUGUUGUGGACUUCUAGUGAGUCUGAACCUGGGACACGACGAUGAGAGCUAUACCUAGAGCAUGUACAUAAGGAAUCAAACUUCAUAGAAUCAAACAUCAAACACUGAUAUCAUCCUUGUGGGGCUCUUUGGUAAAUCCA
Long non-coding RNA from Talpa occidentalis (Iberian mole), 195 nucleotides. RefSeq lists it as uncharacterized. The record is from RefSeq and is a predicted model, not a curated record. Lineage: Eukaryota; Metazoa; Chordata; Mammalia; Eulipotyphla; Talpidae. The transcript has 3 exons.